RNAcentral lists this ribosomal RNA (452 nucleotides) under Enterobacter hormaechei subsp. xiangfangensis. RNAcentral describes it as "partial 23S ribosomal RNA". It matches the Rfam family "Bacterial large subunit ribosomal RNA", at positions 1075 to 1531 of the family's 2925-position model. Lineage: Bacteria; Pseudomonadati; Pseudomonadota; Gammaproteobacteria; Enterobacterales; Enterobacteriaceae. The record is from RNAcentral.
GUGGGAAGGCACAGACAGCCAGGAUGUUGGCUUAGAAGCAGCCAUCAUUUAAAGAAAGCGUAAUAGCUCACUGGUCGAGUCGGCCUGCGCGGAAGAUGUAACGGGGCUAAACCAUGCACCGAAGCUGCGGCAGCGACACUAUGUGUUGUUGGGUAGGGGAGCGUUCUGUAAGCCGUUGAAGGUGUGCUGUGAGGCAUGCUGGAGGUAUCAGAAGUGCGAAUGCUGACAUAAGUAACGAUAAAGCGGGUGAAAAGCCCGCUCGCCGGAAGACCAAGGGUUCCUGUCCAACGUUAAUCGGGGCAGGGUGAGUCGACCCCUAAGGCGAGGCCGAAAGGCGUAGUCGAUGGGAAACAGGUUAAUAUUCCUGUACUUGGUGUUACUGCGAAGGGGGGACGGAGAAGGCUAUGUCAGCCGGGCGACGGUUGUCCCGGUUUAAGCAUGUAGGCGGAGGU